Molecule: ribosomal RNA, 463 nt
Filed under: uncultured bacterium
Lineage: Bacteria
Description: partial 16S ribosomal RNA
Rfam family: Bacterial small subunit ribosomal RNA
Source: RNAcentral
CUACGGGAGGCACCAGUGGGGAAUAUUGCACAAUGGGCGCAAGCCUGAUGCAGCCAUGCCGCGUGUAUGAAGAAGGCCUUCGGGUUGUAAAGUACUUUCAGCGGGGAGGAAGGGAGUAAAGUUAAUACCUUUGCUCAUUGACGUUACCCGCAGAAGAAGCACCGGCUAACUCCGUGCCAGCAGCCACGGUAAUACGGAGGGUGCAAGCGUUAAUCGGAAUUACUGGGCGUAAAGCGCACGCGGCGGUUUGUUAAGUCAGAUGUGAAAUCCCCGGGCUCAACCUGGGAACUGCAUCUGAUACUGGCAAGCUUGAGUCUCGUAGAGGGGGGUAGAAUUCCAGGUGUAGCGGUGAAAUGCGUAGAGAUCUGGAGGAAUACCGGUGGCGAAGGCGGCCCCCUGGACGAAGACUGACGCUCAGGUGCGAAAGCGUGGGGAGCAAACAGGAUUAGAUACCCUAGUAGUC